Molecule: transfer RNA, 68 nt
Filed under: Galictis vittata (Greater grison)
Lineage: Eukaryota; Metazoa; Chordata; Mammalia; Carnivora; Mustelidae
Description: tRNA-Tyr
Rfam family: tRNA
About the family: Transfer RNA (tRNA) molecules are approximately 80 nucleotides in length. Their secondary structure includes four short double-helical elements and three loops (D, anti-codon, and T loops). Further hydrogen bonds mediate the characteristic L-shaped molecular structure. tRNAs have two regions of fundamental functional importance: the anti-codon, which is responsible for specific mRNA codon recognition, and the 3' end, to which the tRNAs corresponding amino acid is attached (by aminoacyl-tRNA synthetases). tRNAs cope with the degeneracy of the genetic code in two manners: having more than one tRNA (with a specific anti-codon) for a particular amino acid; and 'wobble' base-pairing, i.e. permitting non-standard base-pairing at the 3rd anti-codon position.
Source: RNAcentral
GGUAAAAUGGCUGAUAAUAGUGUUAGACUGUAAAUCUAAGAAUAAGGGUUUAAAUCCCUUUUUUACCA